RNAcentral lists this ribosomal RNA (253 nucleotides) under uncultured bacterium. RNAcentral's name for it is "partial 16S ribosomal RNA". It matches the Rfam family "Bacterial small subunit ribosomal RNA", at positions 524 to 776 of the family's 1533-position model. The record is from RNAcentral.
UACGAAGGGUGCUAGCGUUGCUCGGAAUUACUGGGCGUAAAGGGCGCGUAGGCGGCUUGGCGAGUCAGGCGUGAAAUUCCUGGGCUUAACCUGGGGACUGCGCUUGAUACUGCUGGGCUUGAGGCCGAGAGAGGGUGGUGGAAUUCCCAGUGUAGAGGUGAAAUUCGUAGAUAUUGGGAAGAACACCGGUGGCGAAGGCGACCACCUGGCUCGGUACUGACGCUGAGGCGCGACAGCGUGGGGAGCAAACAGG